AAGAAUUGGGAGUUUUCUGCUGAUGAUGCUAUGCUAAGCUGGGCAGAGAGACCAUGGCGAAAAACGCCACAGCACUCCAACCUUCAGGAACCACCACGCUGAUCAGUCAGCAGCUGUCAACAUCGAGGAAAGACCUCCCACUAGCAAAAACAUUCCAACUCAAUGAAGGCUCAGAUAGCAUUUUUAACAAUGAAGUAUUUUUAAAUUAAGGUAUGUACAUUUCUAGACAUAAUGCUAUUGCAC
Molecule: long non-coding RNA, 243 nt
Filed under: Homo sapiens (human)
Lineage: Eukaryota; Metazoa; Chordata; Mammalia; Primates; Hominidae
Description: non-protein coding lnc-ZC3H12B-18:3
Source: RNAcentral